RNAcentral lists this ribosomal RNA (197 nucleotides) under uncultured bacterium. RNAcentral's name for it is "partial 16S ribosomal RNA". It matches the Rfam family "Bacterial small subunit ribosomal RNA", at positions 326 to 539 of the family's 1533-position model. The record is from RNAcentral.
ACGCUCGACACCUACGGUAGGCAGCAGUGGGGAAUAUUGCACAAUGGGGGAAACCCUGAUGCAGCGACGCCGCGUGAGCGAAGAAGUAUCUCGGUAUGUAAAGCUCUAUCAGCAGGGAAGAAGAUGACGGUACCUGACUAAGAAGCACCGGCUAAAUACGUGCCAGCAGCGCGGUAAUCUGAGCGGGCUGGCAAGGC